This 1005-nucleotide long non-coding RNA is filed under the name Eptatretus burgeri (inshore hagfish). Its description in RNAcentral is "lncRNA (ENSEBUG00000017148.1)". The record is from RNAcentral. Lineage: Eukaryota; Metazoa; Chordata; Myxini; Myxiniformes; Myxinidae.
GGAUAGAGUAAAAAUUUACCCCUUGGGUUGGCAUCCUAUUGAUAUGGGAGAUAUAUUCUUAAUUGUCCUACAGAUUGCAGAAAAGAGCGACAUCACAAAGAUAGCAUCGCUGAUACCCAGUGUCUCCCAAAAAGUCUCUCACUUCCCUUAAGUGAUAUCCCACUCGUCAAACAGUUGUUUUACCCUCUCUGCAGUCGCCUCCACAUCCUGCCUUCAAUUUUCAACUUCUCAAUCCCGUAUCCCCUUGGCGAACGUCCCGAGGCGCUCGUUGGCCGCGAUUCCUCAAAUCCAGAGUUGUUCCAGCCAAAAGAUAGACAAAAGGAAUGUACGCGGGAGACCAAGGUGAUGUAUAAAGCUGGAAUUUCGUGUGCUGAUGGACAUCGAAGCCGAUACACUGGGAAAAAUCACAGAGCCAUCGGAAAGCAUCCGUAAAUGAAAAUAUCUGAAAAUAAGUGCAGCCCUGUGCUCACUGCAGAUUUUGGCCCUGGUCUUCACGAGCCUGGGAUUCGCUAAGAAGCACCUGCGAAUCACAAGAUACCAUGCAAUCUACUGCAAUUGCUUCAAGUUUGUUUUUUAUUACUCAACUGCACUCUGCUCACAAACUUGAACACAUGUGAAGGCAUUGCCAUUCUGAUCCCACCCUUAGUCUGCAUGUUCCGAUCAUUGCUUUUUUCAAUUGCUGGUGUAUAGUCUUGACUGGCCGUCUGUAAUGGAUACAUUUGCAAGUUUUGCUAUUUUCUUGAAGGAUAGCCGAGUUUCACAAGCUCAACCUGUGAUAUCGUUGACUUUUGUGCGUUAAUUUAGUGAAACACAGCUUCAUUUUAGAUCACACACCAAGAGGGGUAUAUGGAGCAUACAAUAGCAUGUGAGUUGUUGCAUUUUGAUGAAACACUUCAAUAUGGCAUGACUUGAAGCAACAGAGCAGAUCCUGGUAUUUGUGGCCACCAGAUUAUAUGCACGUUAUCCAAUCACGAAGCAAAAUAAAAGUUGUAUCAUUCUUUGCUC